This 39-nucleotide non-coding RNA is filed under the name Trypanosoma vivax. Lineage: Eukaryota; Euglenozoa; Kinetoplastea; Trypanosomatida; Trypanosomatidae. The record is from RNAcentral.
GGUAAAUCAACAAAGCUACUAUCCUCUAUGAUAGAUGGU